GAAUUCUUGGCGCCAUUGACCUCAAACUCCCCAUUUUCAGGAGAAUUAUUCCUCCUCACUUCCCCAAAUUCCAACAUCCAUUUCGCCAUGGCCGAAGAGAUGAAUCUCCAAAACCAUAGCCCCGAAGUCAAAGAACCCACCCCAGAAAUCCUGAAACUUGGCCCUGAAAAUGGCUUGAUCCAAUCCGCCACCGCCCCAUUUUUCCGAGUCAAAAAGCUCUCUGACAAAGCAGUUUUGCCCUCUAGAGCUUCUUCCCUCUCUGCUGGCUAUGAUCUCUCCAGUGCUGCUGAAAUAAAAGUGCCCGCCCGAGGCAAAGCUUUGAUCCCGACUGAUUUGAGCAUCGCCGUCCCUGAAGCAACCUAUGCCCGUGUUGCGCCGCGGUCGGGAUUGACAUGGAAGAACUCAAUUGAUGUUGGGGCUGGAGUGAUAGAUGCAGAUUACAGGGGUCCAGUUGGGGUGAUUUUGUUCAACCAUUCUGAUGUUGACUUUGAGGUGAAGCCCGGUGACAGAAUUGCACAGCUGAUUAUUGGGAAAAUUGUGACGCCGGAGGUGGAAGAAGUUGAUAAUCUGGAUACAACCGUCAGGGGAGCUGGAGGUUUUGGAUCAACUGGGGUUUAGAGCAUUCAGGAAUCCAGAGAAGUAUUACUGAUAGUAGAUAAUGACUAGUAGCAAAAGGGUAAUAUCUGAUUAGCGGUGCACCUCAAAUCACUAGAGAUGGGUCUUUUGGAAGGGGAAUUCAACUGAUUUUUUGCAGUUAAGAAGGAGAAAGCUUGGUGUUUGUCACAUUGAUUUAUGAUCCUAUGGAUGUAUCCAAGUCCAAAUUGAUAUUCAUUGAUGUAAUGUGAUCCUUGAAUUACAAAAUUUAUCAAUAGUUUUUGCCUUAAGAGGCAGUAGAGAAGAUUCGCCUGACCUGAAUGCUUACAAGGAGGAAAAUUGUGGAAAAUGCUGGUGGAAGUUCACUAUUGUUAUUCGUUGGUCAGUAGCAGAAAAGAUUUUAAUUUACUCCUUCAGCUUGUUCCUCCAUUGCUAAAAGUCCCUUUGUACACGUCUGAGCCCGUCCCACUGAAUUGGUGCAGCUGUCCAAAUCAAAUCGCCAUGUUUGCAAAAGAAAAGCAUAUGCUCUACAGCUUCCUACCCUUCUCGACAGCGUUUACGUCUGUUACCUCUUGAAUAUGAGCUCAUUCACCGGAAGUGCUUUGUCAAAACAUUUCCUUACUAAGUGCUUGAUUUUGUGUUUUGCAUUUAAGUUCCACAGCAUCUCCCAUAUUCUUGAACUCUGAUUAACUAUACUACAUUUUCCCUCAAACUGAUUCCAUCAUUCAUUUCUUUUUUUCCACAUUUUUUGCUUCAUUGUA
This is an RNA transcript of Coffea arabica (coffee), 1355 nucleotides long. It is a transcript of the gene named deoxyuridine 5'-triphosphate nucleotidohydrolase, with no coding region annotated. NCBI's taxonomy places the organism in Eukaryota, Viridiplantae, Streptophyta, Magnoliopsida, Gentianales, Rubiaceae. The record is from RefSeq and is a predicted model, not a curated record.